CCUCUAUAUAAAAAGUAUAGUACAGUAUUGUAACAGGAAAUACAAUUUGCUUUAGCAUAUAAUGAUAUAUUCUUACGCUCGAUAACAUUCUUUGAAUGCAGUUCUAAGUUCAAAGUUUGAUUGAUGAUAUCAUGGCUGCAUGUGUAUAAUAUGAUGGAUUGCAGAAUGUUGCAAAUAGACAAUAUUAAAUAUAGGAGACAAGAAACAGCCUACUCUAGUAAGGCAAUAAUAGCAGACUGAUCAUGGAUUUUUGUAGAUGGACAUUUCAUAGAACUAACUGAGAGCAUGUUUCGCUCGCUGAUCUGGUUUAAAUAAAUUAUUACAAAGUCCAGUUGAAUUGUAAUCAAGACCCAACGUUUUGACACUCCAGUCUAGUGUCUUCAUCAGGGGUGAUCUAAAGUUGCAACUGUCACUUCUUAAAUACCCAAGGGAUGACGUCACCUGCCAAUGAGAUGCAUGUAAUAUUAAGGUUGCCUUAAAACCGUAUUUGACUUUAGGCCAUAUUUUCGCAAAGCCAAAAGAUCCUGUUAAAACAAAUCAGAAAACUCAUGCUGUAUAUUCUAUACCAUGCGGUGACUGCGAAAAAGAGUAUUUGGGUCAGUCUAAACACCAGUUUGGUACAUGGCUAAAAGAACAUCAAAAGGCUGUUUCAACUUUAAAACAAGGGAAAAUCAGCUUUAUCAGAACAUGUGUGUGACACCAAACACGAUAUUGUGUCGGAAAAAUCUAAAGUAAUUAUCACAAACAAUCGCUAUCAUGGUCAAAGACUAUGCCUAGAAGCAUGGCAUAUAAAUAUGAGUAAUUAUGCUGUGAAUAGAGAUGACGGUGCCUAUUUGCCAGAGGAAUACAUGCAUCUCAUUGGCAGGUGAUGUCUCCUUUGGGUAUUUAAGAAGCCACAAUUACAACUUUAGAUCACCCCUAAAGAAGACACUAGACUGGAGUGUCUAAACGCUGGGUCUUGAUUACAAUUCCACCGGGCUUUGUAAUUAUUUAUUUAAUCCAGAGUAGCAAGCGAAACAUGAUUGAUAUACCUGGUUGCAGUGAACAAACACACUUCAAUAACUCAGAGAGCAAUUGCAAGUCUGCCAACAUAAACUGAACCUACAGCCCUGAAAUUCUACUGCUGCCCUCUGACUUAAAGUGUCUGUUUGCCAAGAGGUCACCACAAGUUGCUGUACAUACUGUAUAUAAACCAUGGUCAGGUGUCAGUGGUAGUAUAUUAAGUUAACUGGUAUCAGUAUUAUAUACAUAAACUCCUGG
This is a non-coding RNA of Paramuricea clavata, 1260 nucleotides long. NCBI's taxonomy places the organism in Eukaryota, Metazoa, Cnidaria, Anthozoa, Malacalcyonacea, Plexauridae. The record is from the annotation of a GenBank genome assembly.